This 1185-nucleotide long non-coding RNA is filed under the name Cyanistes caeruleus (blue tit). RNAcentral describes it as "lncRNA (ENSCCEG00000003091.1)". Lineage: Eukaryota; Metazoa; Chordata; Aves; Passeriformes; Paridae. The record is from RNAcentral.
CUGGCUAAAACCAGGUUUGGCCUGGAGUCUGGGCAAACUCCUGGAUGGGGUUUCCCCGGGGUACAGCCCUCGUGCCUUGAGCAACACGCAUCGGGCACGCUGAGGAGGCGGCAGGAAAGCUGAUGGUGACGCUCGUGGCAUGCUGUGAUGAAAGGCAAGAGGGGAGUUUGGAUGCUGAGGUGACAGGGAAGGGCUUGGGGUCGCCAGCAAAGUUGCGGAGUGAAGACAUUCCCGACAGCAGUGCCCAAUUCCCCUCCUGAGGGACACUGUGGGCAAGGCCAGAUCCGGCUCAUGGCUGGAGUUGGAAGAGAAGCAGUACCAAUAUCGGUCAUUUCAUCCUCGCUGGAACCCUGACUAUACAAAGCUUCAUUCUCACUCCGUGCAAGGGUGUUUGCAGCUUAAUAAGUCUGGCUCAGGUCUGCAAUAACUUGUGAUGCAGGGAGGGUACCCUAAUCCUGUUCUGAAAAACUUAAACAAAACCUGAACUGCCCAGCUUCACCCCCUGGCAGUUCAUUUCAGGAGGUAGCUGUUAAAAAUGUGUCUUUGCUUCUCAUUUUCAAUGACCUGGAUUUAGCUGUCAGCCCCUGCCUGGGGUUAUUCCUCUCCCUGCUAGACCCAGUCACCCUUCCUAGAGCGACAGAACCGAGGGCUGUUUGCAUUAGGGAUGUGUUGCUGGCCAAAACCUCGGGCUCAAGUUUGUUUCCUUUGUGAAGAAACAAUGUCUGUGCUGUUGGUGAUCCCCAUCCCACUGAAAAACCCUCUUCCUUCUCCUGCUGUGAGGAUGACAGGCUCCAACCUGGGACAAAUCCAUGGGAACAGUGGUCCGGAGGGCAGUGGCUCAGUACUUUCACACUGGAAAAGCAACAUUUGCUGGAGAGCGUGAGGAGCUUUUACCUUGGCUCUGGCCCACAGGCUUUCUUCAAAAUAUCCCUUUCACAUGGAAAUUCCUGCCAAGUGAAGAUUGCUGGCUCUGGCUGGCAUGUCAGCCACGGCAAGAGACACAAAGAUUGGACCAGAAGCAAAUGCUGAAGAGGGAGCUCAUCAUUAUUCUCUCUUCUAAAAGAAGAGAAAAUUGAGGGACAGCAGCCUUGAUCUUAUUGAGAAGAAGAUUGAAGCGAAAGACAAGGGCGUACCAGGGAUCUGCAGCUGCACCAGAUGGACCCAAUGAAAAUAACAGGACAGUCC